RNAcentral lists this long non-coding RNA (496 nucleotides) under Physcomitrium patens. Its description in RNAcentral is "long non-coding RNA (PPAT_LNC014260)". Lineage: Eukaryota; Viridiplantae; Streptophyta; Bryopsida; Funariales; Funariaceae. The record is from RNAcentral.
AGGGACUGAAAUAUCAGGCAUCCUCUAAGUCGUUCUUCACACCACGGAACUAGCUGGGAUGUGGGGCCGCUCCAAAGCCACAGAUGUCAAAUAAUGCAGAUGUAUACGUUUCCCUUCCUGUGAGUGGGGCCCUUAAACUGCACCAGAUAUUACACCCUCAAAGCUUUCCGUGGUGUAUAUUCGCCACCUACAUGACAAGGAUAGCACCCGAUGCUGUGGGCAAGUACAAGGUGGCUGUAGUUCCAAGAAUUCUACCGACGUUGUAAUCAGUUGUUAACACCGGAUCAGGUCUAGGGAGAGAGCGUGGCGCAACCACACACGCUGGUGCCAAAAGCUUCGUGCUUGCGUGUCAUGCCUUAGGACGUUAUUGACUGCAAAACCAUAGAUCCGAAUCGAUGUUUUGUUUCCGGAUUGCUUGGACCUGAUGCCCUCAUGGACCUCACGGUGGGCAGAUCCACUUACAAACUCCCACAACUUCGAGUUGUUUAUUUAUUCA